GAUGAACGCUGGCGGCGUGCCUAAUACAUGCAAGUCGAGCGAAUGGAUUGAGAGCUUGCUCUUAUGAAGUUAGCGGCGGACGGGUGAGUAACACGUGGGUAACCUGCCCAUAAGACUGGGAUAACUCCGGGAAACCGGGGCUAAUACCGGAUAACAUUUUGAACCGCAUGGUUCGAAAUUGAAAGGCGGCUUCGGCUGUCACUUAUGGAUGGACCCGCGUCGCAUUAGCUAGUUGGUGAGGUAACGGCUCACCAAGGCAACGAUGCGUAGCCGACCUGGGAGGGUGGUCGGCCACACUGGGACUGGGACACGGCCCAGACUCCUACGGGAGGCAGCAGUAGGGAAUCUUCCGCAAUGGACGAAAGUCUGACGGAGCAACGCCGCGUGAGUGAUGAAGGCUUUCGGGUCGUAAAACUCUGUUGUUAGGGAAGAACAAGUGCUAGUUGAAUAAGCUGGCACCUUGACGGUACCUAACCAGAAAGCCACGGCUAACUACGUGCCAGCAGCCGCGGUAA
RNAcentral lists this ribosomal RNA (515 nucleotides) under uncultured bacterium. RNAcentral's name for it is "partial 16S ribosomal RNA". It matches the Rfam family "Bacterial small subunit ribosomal RNA", at positions 28 to 523 of the family's 1533-position model. The record is from RNAcentral.